CCUACGAGUGGCUGCAGUGGGGAAUAUUGGACAAUGGGGGCAACCCUGAUCCAGCCAUGCCGCGUGUGUGAAGAAGGCCCUCGGGUUGUAAAGCACUUUCAGUGAGGAAGAACGCCUGGUGGUUAAUACCCAUCAGGAAAGACAUCACUCACAGAAGAAGCACCGGCUAACUCCGUGCCAGCAGCCGCGGUAAUACGGAGGGUGCGAGCGUUAAUCGGAAUUACUGGGCGUAAAGCGCGCGUAGGUGGCUUGAUAAGCCGGUUGUGAAAGCCCCGGGCUCAACCUGGGAACGGCAUCCGGAACUGUCAAGCUAGAGUGCAGGAGAGGAAGGUAGAAUUCCCGGUGUAGCGGUGAAAUGCGUAGAGAUCGGGAGGAAUACCAGUGGCGAAGGCGGCCUUCUGGACUGACACUGACACUGAGGUGCGAAAGCGUGGGUAGCAAACAGGAUUAGAUACCCUUGUAGUC
This 465-nucleotide ribosomal RNA is filed under the name Vreelandella stevensii. Its description in RNAcentral is "partial 16S ribosomal RNA". It matches the Rfam family "Bacterial small subunit ribosomal RNA", at positions 338 to 795 of the family's 1533-position model. The record is from RNAcentral. Lineage: Bacteria; Pseudomonadati; Pseudomonadota; Gammaproteobacteria; Oceanospirillales; Halomonadaceae.